AAACACUAAGGACAUGUUUGGUUCAUGAUUAUUGAAGUAGGAAUGAAAAAUAAAAUUGAAUUGUUUUAAAAUUGAAAAUAAAAUGACGAAUUACCUAAAAAUAUUUGAUUCAUUAUUAGAAUGAAUAUCGGAAUGAAAAAUUUAAAAUUUUUUAGAGAGGGUUUUAUUUAAGAUAGAGGAAAGUGAUGAAGGGAGAGUAGAAAGGUGUUGAUGAAAGAGGAUCUUGAAUAGUUUAUUUUGGAAUGGAUCAAUUCGGGAUUUAAAACCGGAUUGGGCCACAAAUGGAUUUGGCCCAUUCCUAUUCCGGAGUAGAAUGGGAAUUGGAAUCCGAUUUCUAUAAAACAAACGAUAACUAUCAGAUUCCGAUUUCAUAGUUUAAAAUAGGUGAACCAAACAUGCCCUAAAUGAAAUUGGGAGUUGAUCGCGUGGUGGCUGAGGAGGAUGUUCCUAAUAGUUAUUUACUAUUGACUAAAAUAGAUCUAUCUUAUUGUCUUGUGAUAAUUAGCCCAAGAGACUAAUUAGUUGAGUUGGGUGUGUCUACAAUAAAUCUAACAGUAAGAAGCUGAAUUAUAGAUUUAACGUUCAGCUGAAUUGAGUCAGGUCAAAACUUGUGAGUGCUGUAGCUGAAUUCUUAAGUAUGAUGAAUGUGCUAUUCUUAUCGGUAAGCACUUUUGGGAUAGCUGGUUGUCACUUACAGUUCACAAUUCUCACAGCGUUUGAGUGCACGAGAUAUGCACUUCGUUAUGUUUAUGCGCUAAUUAUCCAUAGAAUUUGAAAACUUUAUAGUGACUAAUAGAAAUUCAAUCACAAAAUAUACAAAACUAAUUUCACCCUUGAAUGUACAAUCUAGAAUCUAUAAUCUGUAAUCUAUACCAAUAACUAUAAUAACUAUAACUAUAUAUUAAUCUCCAAUCCCUUAUACACAUGGCAUAACCACAUUGAUUUGAGGGAGUGGGCCUAUAUAUAUCCUCCUCACCUAAUAAAAGUUAUUGCUUCCACCUGGUUUUUAAUUUUAUAUAUACACUGAAUAAUUUUAAUUACUAUUAUACAAUUAAAAUCUAAUCCAACAAAUACAAUUUAAAUUAUAUUGAAAGACUAUAUAUAAAAAUUUAUAGUAAUUUAUAUUAUUUUAGUUUAAAUUAAUUUAAAUUAUUAAUCUGGUAAUAAAAUUAUAGGUAAUAUAUUA
Molecule: long non-coding RNA, 1186 nt
Filed under: Ananas comosus (pineapple)
Lineage: Eukaryota; Viridiplantae; Streptophyta; Magnoliopsida; Poales; Bromeliaceae
Description: long non-coding RNA (ACOM_LNC020900)
Source: RNAcentral